GGAAAUGGGCCUUAAGGCCAACGAGGCCCAAUGGGGCGCACAACUCCCUCUCUCUGAAGGACAACGAAGAGUAUGACUCUUCUCCUUCCUCUCAACUUCAGUCAACACGUAAGCGUGACUUCCCAUGCACUGACAGGUGAUCAUUAACCGGAGGGGGAAUCGAGAAGCCAGUCGACCAUUUGGGCAACGGAAAAGCCAAAAAUCGCUCAUGGCCAUUAAUGCAAUUUAAGGACAAUACUUACAAAUCUGAAGAGAAAAGUUCAUUAUUUGAUAACGCACCCUUUACCUAUCAACUCUAUCUACUACCCCUUGUCUCUCCAUUCUUCUUUUCUUAUCCAUAAAACGCAUACCAAACUUUAUAACAUGCAUUCUAUGUCUCUAUUAAACGCAAGCAUAACGAAACAAGCAAGGUGAUUAUCACAACAAAUCGGAGGAAGAUCUCAAAUUUUAAAAACUAAGGUUGUUGAGAUAAUAUGAAGCACACAAAGAGUGAAGAAAUAGAGCAGGAACUGAACCUUAACGCGAAACACGCGUUUUUAGCGAGCGUAAAGAAUAGAUCCGGACCUUGGUGAAUGUUUUCUUCCCUCUGUUUUCAUGUGAAUCCUCCAAGUUUGGAAGUGGGGAAGACGUCCUGCGGGUAACCCUUUCACUUCGUUUUCUUCUUUGUUCCUUCUACCAAUUUGGAGCUUUCGUCUAUCCAGAUCCCAACGAUCCUUCACGCAGUUUUUUAAGCGAUUCACGGUCGUGGGUGCUCACCGAGGGGUUCAGUCCGACUACCUCAUAGUUUCGGCGAGAAACUCUGAAUAGUUUUUGUGACUUGGACUUUGAGGAAUUCAGGUAAGGCUUUUCGGCAGAGUAACAGUAGGGUCCCCCUCUCUAGAUGACUCUCAACCUUUAUUUAUAGAGUCUUCUCCUCGGAUCCUCAAAUCAUGAGCUGUCAAUAUCUAUCCAAAAUCAUUCCGUUAGGAGAGAAUUUUCUCAGAGAUUUGGUGGGGACCAGGGCGAUUGUCACAGGUAAAUUUCUCUUUGUCUGUAGUGUAGCCUUCCAGUCUUCUAGAAACUGUGGUCCCUCAUUUGAUGCAGGUGGCAAGGUGAGAUUGUUUUGUUGGUAAGAUCCCCCAAAGAAUGCGUGACCAUUUUGUGUUGAAUCUUUUAUUAAGCUCUUACUGCUGUAACUCUUAUUUUUGUUGCGGUAAGAAACUUAUUUUCACUGUCAUGUACAUUCAAACUUUUAAAUGACGUUCAAUUCAAAAAGACUCUAUUAUGCUGUCAUGUGUUUUUCAGCUCACAUUUUCAACCUGUGCUUGUCGUAGGUAUAAAGGGCAACAAGAUAUCCGCUCAAUUUUGAUUUGGUUUGGAAAAGUUAUGUUGUGAAUCCGGGGUCUACAUUGCUCUGAUGUCUUGGAUUUGGAGGUGAAACAGAAAGACUUGCAUGCUUUGGCUUGCGUUUUGGACUUUUGGAGAUGAGAGUGUGAGCAUUAUUGUUUUAAUGCAGAGUGGCCUUUGUUGACUGAUAUAUCAGGGCGGUUUUGGUGCUGUUAUGCUGACAUAAGUUGGCGGGUAACUUUAAGUUCCACGAUUUAACUUAUGUUUUGAAAGUAGGAGCAGCGACUGGUUUUGAAAGUGCAUCAUCUACCUUCUCCGCAGGAGGUUUCGGCAUUGAUAACAAGCUUGGACUGAUAGCAUGUUUGGAUCGUGCAUAAGUUCCCUAAUUGUGUGUGUUCCUGAGUCCGUUUGAAUCAAUUGGAGAAAUCAUGAAUGCAUUUAUUUGUAUGGCAUGUUGUUGGCUUUUGGACUCUGUAGAUUGCAUCAUGCUGUUAGAAGGUACCCUGCAGGCUUUAGAACGAACUUGUAACAGUCUGUAGAAAUAAGUGCAGGGAAAAGCCGGGCAAGCAUCAUGGCAAAGGGAUAUGUACUUUCCAAUUUGAAGCUUAUUCUUGUCGUUUUGACUUGAUUGUAAUGUAAUCUUAGAUCAUAAGGUUGGGACUUGCGUGAACCAUGAAGUUUAACCAUACAAAUUGUAAAUUUAUGCUCGUAUUAAUAAAACUUAGGAACAUCAUGCCCAUUAAAGCAUGGUCUUGUAAAUCCAAGUUAAUGAUCUUUAUUCAAAUGA
Molecule: long non-coding RNA, 2113 nt
Organism: Lathyrus oleraceus (garden pea)
Lineage: Eukaryota; Viridiplantae; Streptophyta; Magnoliopsida; Fabales; Fabaceae
Exons: 5
Source: RefSeq, a predicted model, not a curated record